This is a long non-coding RNA of Xiphophorus hellerii (green swordtail), 269 nucleotides long. RefSeq lists it as uncharacterized. Lineage: Eukaryota; Metazoa; Chordata; Actinopteri; Cyprinodontiformes; Poeciliidae. The record is from RefSeq and is a predicted model, not a curated record. The transcript has 2 exons.
GGUGUGUGCAGAGCUCUGAAAUUUUUCAGAAAUACAUGGAAGUGAAUCUGUGAGAUCUGUCAGUUACCCUGGCGCAUGAUUUCGCUCUGAAGCACCUUGACAGAAAACCGUAAGCCCUAGAGCACAGGUAAAUUUCGAAAACAUUUUACAGGCGCAGGUUCGUAUCAAUGUCAUGACCAAGUUUGAUACCAAUCGGGCGAUAUUUGUGGGUGUGACAGCGAUUUCAAAAUUGUUUUGGGGUCAAAAAUUCGCUUCAUUUCUCACUCUAA